AUUAAUGAAAGAUGUUUUCUGCUCAAUGAUAAUAAAUAGCCGCAGUAAUUUGACUGUGCGAAGGUAGCAUAAUCAUUUGCUUUUUAAUUUGAGGCUUGUAUGAAUGGAAAUAUGAAAAUUUUUCUGUCUUUAUUUAAUAAAUAAAAAUUGGUUUUUUUGUGAAGAAACAAAAAUAGAGUAAAGGGACAAGAAGACCCUUUUGAUCUUUAUUUUUUUUAAUAAUUGUUUAUAUUUAAAAAAUUUGGUUGGGGCGAUCAAAGAAGAAAAAAAUCUUCUUUUGUAAAAAAAUGAAUGAUCCGAAAUUUUCGAUUAAGAGAUUAAGUUACCAAAGGGAUAACAGCGUAAUUUUUUUUGAAAGUUCUUAUUAAAAGAAAAGAUUGCGACCUCGAUGUUGACUUAUUAUAACUUUUUGAUGUAGCAGUUAAAAAAGUGGGUCUGUUCGACCUUUAAAGUAUUACGUGAUCUGAGUUCAGACCA
Molecule: ribosomal RNA, 477 nt
Filed under: Nemertea sp. Antarctic ARM-2008
Lineage: Eukaryota; Metazoa; Nemertea
Description: partial 16S ribosomal RNA
Rfam family: Bacterial large subunit ribosomal RNA
Source: RNAcentral